RNAcentral lists this ribosomal RNA (822 nucleotides) under uncultured bacterium. RNAcentral's name for it is "bacterial SSU rRNA". It matches the Rfam family "Bacterial small subunit ribosomal RNA", at positions 671 to 1504 of the family's 1533-position model. The record is from RNAcentral.
UAGUGUAGAGGUGAAAUUCGUAGAUAUUAGAAAGAAUACCAAUUGCGAAGGCAGCUUUCUGGAUCAUUACUGACACUGAGGAACGAAAGCAUGGGUAGCGAAGAGGAUUAGAUACCCUCGUAGUCCAUGCCGUAAACGAUGUGUGUUAGACGUUGGAAAUUUAUUUUCAGUGUCGCAGUGAAAGCGAUAAACACACCGCCUGGGGAGUACGACCGCAAGGUUAAAACUCAAAUGAAUUGACGGGGACCCGCACAAGUAGUGGAGCAUGUGGUUUAAUUCGAAGAUACGCGCAGAACCUUACCAACACUUGACAUGUUCGUCGCGACUUUAAGAGAUUAAAGUUUUCGGUUCGGCCGGACGAAACACAGGUGCUGCAUGGCUGUCGUCAGCUCGUGUCGUGAGAUGUUGGGUUAAGUCCCGCAACGAGCGCAACCCUCACUUUUAGUUGCCAUCAUUUAGUUGGGCACUCUGAAAGAACUGCCAGUGAUAAGCUGGAGGAAGGUGGGGAUGACGUCAAGUCCUCAUGGCCCUUACGUGUUGGGCUACACACGUGCUACAAUGGUAUCUACAACAGGAAGCGAAACGGCGACGUUAAGCAAAUCCUUAAAAGAUACCUCAGUUCGGAUUGCACUCUGCAACUCGAGUGCAUGAAGCUGGAAUUACUAGUAAUCGUGGAUCAGCGUGCCACGGUGAAUGCGUUCCCGGGUCUUGUACACACCGCCCGUCACACCAUGGGAGUUGGUUCUACCUUAAGGCAAGGUUUUAAACCCUUGACUACGGUAUAGUCAGCGACUGGGGUGAAGUCGUAACAAGGUAGCCGUA